ACGCUGGCGGCGUGCCUAAUACAUGCAAGUCGAACGGUCUUUCUAUGGAAGCUUGCUUCCACUGAGAAGAUAGUGGCGAACGGGUGAGUAACACGUGGGUAACCUGCCCAUAAGAGGGGGAUAACAUCCGGAAACGGGUGCUAAUACCGCAUAGUUUUCUUGAUCGCAUGAUCGGGAAGGAAAGACGGCCUUUGUGCUGUCGCUUAUGGAUGGACCCGCGGCGUAUUAGUUAGUUGGUGAGGUAACGGCUCACCAAGACGAUGAUACGUAGCCGACCUGAGAGGGUGAUCGGCCACAUUGGGACUGAGACACGGCCCAAACUCCUACGGGAGGCAGCAGUAGGGAAUCUUCCGCAAUGGACGAAAGUCUGACGGAGCAACGCCGCGUGAGUGAAGAAAAGGUUUUCGGAUCGUAAAACUCUGUUGUCAGAGAAGAACAAGUUGGAGAGUAACUGCUCCAGCCUUGACGGUAUCUGACCAGAAAGCCACGGCUAACUACGUGCCAGCAGCGGC
Molecule: ribosomal RNA, 512 nt
Filed under: uncultured bacterium
Lineage: Bacteria
Description: bacterial SSU rRNA
Rfam family: Bacterial small subunit ribosomal RNA
Source: RNAcentral